This 252-nucleotide ribosomal RNA is filed under the name uncultured bacterium. RNAcentral's name for it is "partial 16S ribosomal RNA". It matches the Rfam family "Bacterial small subunit ribosomal RNA", at positions 524 to 776 of the family's 1533-position model. The record is from RNAcentral.
UACGAGGGGGCAAAUGUUGUUCGGAAUCACUGGGCGUAAAGGGAGCGUAGGCGGGUUCUUAAGUAAGGUGUUUAAUCCCGGGGCCCAACCCCGGACCGGCACUUUAAACUGGGAAUCUUGAAUAGUGGAGAGGUCGGUGGAAUUGGAGGUGUAGCGGUGGAAUGCGUAGAGAUCUCCAAGAACACCAGUUGCGAAGGCGGCCGACUGGACACAUAUUGACGCUGAGGCUCGAAAGCAUGGGGAGCAAACAGG